CCUCAUAGCUUAGUUGGUAAAUCAUCUGCUUGCAAUGCAGGAGAUCCGGGUUCAAUUCCCGGGUUGAGAA
RNAcentral lists this transfer RNA (70 nucleotides) under Bos taurus (domestic cattle). It matches the Rfam family "tRNA". Rfam says of the family: Transfer RNA (tRNA) molecules are approximately 80 nucleotides in length. Their secondary structure includes four short double-helical elements and three loops (D, anti-codon, and T loops). RNAcentral also lists the same sequence under 1 other name. The record is from Rfam by way of RNAcentral. Lineage: Eukaryota; Metazoa; Chordata; Mammalia; Artiodactyla; Bovidae.